RNAcentral lists this ribosomal RNA (1019 nucleotides) under uncultured bacterium. RNAcentral's name for it is "bacterial SSU rRNA". It matches the Rfam family "Bacterial small subunit ribosomal RNA", at positions 355 to 1375 of the family's 1533-position model. The record is from RNAcentral.
UGAGGAAUAUUGGUCAAUGGGCGCAGGCCUGAACCAGCCAAGUAGCGUGAAGGAUGACUGCCCUAUGGGUUGUAAACUUCUUUUAUAAAGGAAUAAAGUCGGGUAUGUAUACCCGUUUGCAUGUACUUUAUGAAUAAGGAUCGGCUAACUCCGUGCCAGCAGCCGCGGUAAUACGGAGGAUCCGAGCGUUAUCCGGAUUUAUUGGGUUUAAAGGGAGCGUAGAUGGAUGUUUAAGUCAGUUGUGAAAGUUUGCGGCUCAACCGUAAAAUUGCAGUUGAUACUGGAUAUCUUGAGUGCAGUUGAGGCAGGCGGAAUUCGUGGUGUAGCGGUGAAAUGCUUAGAUAUCACGAAGAACUCCGAUUGCGAAGGCAGCUUACUAACCUGUAACUGACAUUGAUGCUCGAAAGUGUGGGUAUCAAACAGGAUUAGAUACCCUGGUAGUCCACACGGUAAACGAUGAAUACUCGCUGUAGGCGAUAUACAGUCUGCGGCCAAGCGAAAGCAUUAAGUAUUCCACCUGGGGAGUACGCCGGCAACGGUGAAACUCAAAGGAAUUGACGGGGGCCCGCACAAGCGGAGGAACAUGUGGUUUAAUUCGAUGAUACGCGAGGAACCUUACCCGGGCUUAAAUUGCAACCGAAUAUGGCGGAAACGCUAUAGCUAGCAAUAGCGGUUGUGAAGGUGCUGCAUGGUUGUCGUCAGCUCGUGCCGUGAGGUGUCGGCUUAAGUGCCAUAACGAGCGCAACCCUUGCCGAUAGUUACUAACAGGUUAUGCUGAGGACUCUGUCGGGACUGCCAUCGUAAGAUGUGAGGAAGGUGGGGAUGACGUCAAAUCAGCACGGCCCUUACGUCCGGGGCUACACACGUGUUACAAUGGGGGGUACAGAGGGCUGCUACCACGCAAGUGGAUGCCAAUCCCAAAAACCUCUCUCAGUUCGGAUUGAAGUCUGCAACCCGACUUCAUGAAGCUGGAUUCGCUAGUAAUCGCGCAUCAGCCACGGCGCGGUGAAUACGUUCCC